GGUAGCAGUUAUUGCCCCCUGCAGACCAGGAGGACACAGAUGAAUGCAUGUGCUCUUGCACUGCUUGGAUCUGUGCCGCUCUCCAGGCUCCAGUCCUGCUGCCAGCCCUGCAAUUGCAAUACCAGACCCAACAGGUGGCAAUCACAGCCUGGCCUCUGCCUCAGUGGAGCACCUGCACAAGAGCUUCUGCCUCCGAAACUAUUCCAGACCCAGCAAAGCUGGCAGAAGGAGAGUGCCAGCACUUAACAUGCUGCUCCAUUUCAGCUUUCAGGCCCUUUUCUGAGUGUGAUGCAGUGCUCUGCUCCAUGCCAGGAAUCUGAAAUAGAACAAAGCAGUCUCAAACUAUGUCUGAGACCAUAAUCAGUGAUAUUGUGGGAAGUCAGAAGGAAGUCCUUUGGCUAUCCUAGGAUUUGGCCAUCUUGUUCUGUUUUCAAUUCCAUAUUGGCUCCAGAAGUAAGAAAAAUAAACAGGAAGGAGAGAGAAUGGGAGGGUGUAACAAUGCUGUUAGUGAAGCUGAAGAGUUCACUUAUUUCCAUGGAAACAUUCACAUCCUAGCAACAGCAUAUUGAUAACAAGAUGACAAGGAAAGACAAGAGCUGAUGCCUUUGGCUCAUGGGAAAAUAAGCCUGGAUUUCCAAUUUUUUACCUUUUCAAAAAUGGAUAAGUGUUUAACAAAUAUCUCCAGUCCAUUUUUUUUUUUGUUCUUAAUUGCUUGCACUUUUGUGUUGACACAUUACCUAUUAUGGAAAAUUGAUAGUGUUGAGGUAUUAUUGGCAUUGUCUGUCGGGCCACAUAAAUCGUUAAUCGGCAACAAAGAAACCCAGAGGUUUGAAAAGCUACGUUUUGGAAAGGAGCAGAUUGGUGAGGAACAGCUGCAAAUGUUGCCACUGCCUCUCCGAAGAAGAAUCAAGAAACAGCCCUACAGGGACUUAAGAUUAUGAAAACUGUAAGACAGAAAAGAUGCAGAAAAAACCCACUUGAAGGAAGACAUGACAGACACACUGACAGCAGUUACCCUCCCCACCUACCUCAAAUUCCCGUGAUAUUACUACCUCAGCAUGGAAGUCUGUGUAAUAUCAUGGAACUUUGGAUGUAUGAGGAGUUGCAUUACCUAAAAUCAUCUUUAUUUUACCCAGCGCCACACCUCAUUGGAGUGAGGAUACAUGAGGCUUUCUGAGAUCAGUCUGGAAAGACUCCUUCCACUACUACCACCCUACCCAUAUACGUUACUUCAUGAAACUGCAGAACUUGAAGAAAAAUAAGUUCCAUCCUAAUUCAAAGAUCCCCCUCAGGGAGCUCAUUACAUGGAAAA
Molecule: non-coding RNA, 1312 nt
Organism: Coturnix japonica (Japanese quail)
Lineage: Eukaryota; Metazoa; Chordata; Aves; Galliformes; Phasianidae
Source: RefSeq, a predicted model, not a curated record